CUAACCAGGAUUCCCCUAGUAACUGCGAGUGAAGCGGGAAAAGCUCAAAUUUGAAAUCUGGCGGUCUUUGGCCGUCCGAGUUGUAAACUAGAGAAGUGUUACCCGUGCUGGACCGUGUACAAGUCUCCUGGAAUGGAGCGUCAUAGAGGGUGAGAAUCCCGUCUUUGACACGGACUACCAGUGCAUUGUGGUAUGCUCUCAAAGAGUCGAGUUGUUUGGGAAUGCAGCUCAAAAUGGGUGGUAAAUUCCAUCUAAAGCUAAAUAUUGGCGAGAGACCGAUAGCGAACAAGUACCGUGAGGGAAAGAUGAAAAGAACUUUGGAAAGAGAGUUAAACAGUACGUGAAAUUGCUGAAAGGGAAACGCUUGAAGUCAGUCGCAUCGGCCGGGGAUCAGCCUCGCAAUUGCGUGGUGUACUUUCUGGUUGAUGGGUCAGCAUCAAUUUUGACCGCUGGAAAAAGGCCUGAGGAAUGUGGCAGCUUCGGCUGUGUUAUAGCCUCUUGUCACAUACAGCGGUUGGGAUUGAAGAACUCAGCACGCCGCAAGGCCGGGUUUCGACCACGUCCGUGCUUAGGAUGCUGGCAUAAUGGCUUUAAGCGACCCGUCUUGAAACACGGACCAAGGAGUCUAACAUGCUUGCGAGUGUUUGGGUGGAAAACCCGAGCGCGUAAUGAAAGUGAAAGUUGAGAUCCCUGUCGCGGGGAGCAUCGACGCCCGGACCAGAACUUUUGGGACGGAUCCGCGGUAGAGCAUGUAUGUUGGGACCCGAAAGAUGGUGAACUAUGCCUGAAUAGGGUGAAGCCAGAGGAAACUCUGGUGGAGGCUCGUAGCGAUUCUGACGUGCAAAUCGAUCGUCAAAUUUGGGUAUAGGGGCGAAAGACUAAUCGAACCA
This 890-nucleotide ribosomal RNA is filed under the name Cystolepiota pulverulenta. Its description in RNAcentral is "eukaryotic LSU rRNA". It matches the Rfam family "Eukaryotic large subunit ribosomal RNA", at positions 65 to 942 of the family's 3401-position model. Lineage: Eukaryota; Fungi; Basidiomycota; Agaricomycetes; Agaricales; Agaricaceae. The record is from RNAcentral.